RNAcentral lists this long non-coding RNA (6194 nucleotides) under Jatropha curcas. RNAcentral describes it as "long non-coding RNA (JCUR_LNC000518)". The record is from RNAcentral. Lineage: Eukaryota; Viridiplantae; Streptophyta; Magnoliopsida; Malpighiales; Euphorbiaceae.
GCUUGCAGGAAUUGUUUCGAAGCACAUACGAAAUAUAGGUGAUACAGGAAAAAAUGGAGGAGUUUUUAUGGUGGAUUUGGAAGGGAAACUGAUUUCUUAUUACUAUGAUCCUGAGUUAAAAUUGAUUUCUACUGGUGUAAAAAUUGGAAAUCAUCUAUACUGUGGUUCUAUCAUCUAUCCCUAUAUUAUUCGUCUAAAUUUGGCCAAGUAUCCUGCACUUGCCAAUACCUAAGUUGUGUAGAUUAAUGCUAUAUUAAUGUCUCUCAUCUGUGCUCGGAGGGUUGGUGUGCCCUAUGAGAGUAUCCUCAAUCGGGCCAUCAACACCUGACUAGUGAACCGAGCUGAUAGAGGUAAUGACUAAAACAUCUAGUAGUUCUCUUUUUCUUUUUCGAAUGUGUUUACGCUAUGCAAAUGUUAUAGAAAUUUUCAGAGUUGUCUAGCAAACAUUUCUCAUUGAAUAUGGUAAUGGUAUGAUGUUUUUGCCUCGUUUAAUUUAAUUUCACCUAAAUAUAAUAAUUGAAAUAAUUUAGUGAAAAAAAUAUUACGAAGCACAUUUCAUAUAUAUUUGCCACCAUUUCACUCACCUUAUAAUCAAAUACAAAAAUUUUUUUAACCUAAUAAUAAAAAAAAUAUUGUCGUAAAUGAACAUAGAAAAUAUUACAAUUAAUUUAAUUAAUUACAAAAGUUUUGUGUUUGUGGAAGAGUUCAGUAAAUUAACAAAUGAAAUUAACUUACCUGGGCUGUUAAGAGGUUGGAUUGUUUCCACAAGCAUGGGCAUCAUGUGAAGUGCAACCUGAUCUUUUUUUUUUUUUUUUAAAAUUCAUUAGAGGCAUUUAUAGGCGGAAAUAAUAGUCCGGGCUACACAACAGGAAUAGCUCUCUCUUGGCUCACCAAAUUGAUAAAAAUAACUGUGAUCAAGAAAACUCGAAUUUGAAAGCUUUCACUCCUCGCACGGUUGAAUAGACCAAUAUGAUCAUAUUUGCAUGCAUCCAAAUCAUCUUAAGCCAAAUACCGAACUUCCGGAAGCUCUAAUGGCUUUCAACUGUUGAGCAGUAACAUCAAAUAGGAAAGGACAAACUGGAGAUUAUCAAAUUUUUAGGAAAUGCACUUCCUUAGAUCGAGGGAAGGAAAUAAUUUCGUCAUAAGAAUUUCUUUAUUUGUGGAAAUAAAACAUGAUCAAAUUCAUUACCUUUACAAAAGUUUAAGUUUCCGAGUUCACUCGUCACUUACAAAGAAGGCCUAAAACUCUUCCAUUUGACACGUCUCCAACCUAUUGCUACUACAAAAAAUAUGAAUUCAACAAAAUCAUAUCAUAACAUAUGAAGAAAGAGUUCACCAUGCCUUUCUUUCACUAUUGCCUUUUCAUUACUAUCUCCUGUUAUAGCUGCUAUACUUAUUUACCAACUCGACUCGUUCGACCCAGCUCCUAUUCCCAUCCACGAGUUGACUCAGCCCCCUAAUGCGUUGAUGCAAAAUAGUCAUGUCCUUGAAAGAUCAGAACUUUUGGAUGAAGGGACCCGAAGAUAUAGCAUAUGACAGCAAGUCGGGGCUGAUUUACACGAGCUGUCAAGAUGGGUGGAUCAAGCGAGUCACGGUGACUGACUCGGUGUCUGACUCGAUUGUUUAAAACUGGGUUAAUAUUGGUGGGACCCCCUGGAAUCGCUGAUGCUUUCAAGAUUUGUACAUAUCUCUUUGACUUUUACAUUGAAAUCAAAACGUCAUUGAAUUUCAUGGGAGUAAAAUAUCUAUUUGGAACUUAGGAUUUGUUUGGUUAAAAUUGAUCUAUUUUCUGGAAAGUUGAUUUCCGCGAAACUAGAGUUUCUAAGGAAGUUACUUUCCGAAAAGUAGAGUGCGAUUGUGUUUGAUUGAUACAUUGAAUUCCCAGAAAGUAAACUGGAUUAAUGAAAUGUGAGAUUGUAAAUGACAAAAAUACCCUGUUAUAUAUAAUAAUUGAAAUAUUUCAUUAAAAAAAUUUUAAUUGAAAUAUUUCAUUGAAAAAAAUUUAAUAACCUAGAAUAUUUCAUUGAAGAAAAAUUUAAUAAAACACGUUUUAUAUGAUCCACUAGCUUGUAAUCAAUAUAACUUUUUAAUUACAUAUUAUACAAAAUAUUAUUAUAAAUUUCUUUAUUUGGUUAAUGUUAUAAUUACACACAAAAUAAGAAUAAUAAUUCUCUAAAAAAGCUUAAUAAGGAAAGAGCAUGUGUUCAAUUAGAAGUACAGUGGACUAAAGUAAAAAUAAGCAGUGUAAGCUAAAAGAGUAAAAUUGAGAAUGAGAAGUAAACGGCUAGGGAGUUUUAUUUUUCAGUUCCUAGAUUAUACAAUUUGUGCCAACUAAACAUGCUCAAAAUCUAUAUUUCUUGGAAACUUCAACUUUCUCCCUUUACUUACCCCCAACCAAACGAGGCCUUAAUAUUUUGGCUAUUUAAGCUUUUGAAUUUUUACAUUGAACUUCUUUAUAAUAGAAGUAAAAUUCAAAAAAAUUUAUUAAUAGUUGUUUAUGUGGCUUAAAAGAUAAAAUUUCAAAAAUUUCUCCACUUAAAAUUUAAAAUAACUUUUUUAAUACAGAUAUAAAUCAAUCGUCUAAAGUUGAAUCGAGCUUCGUUUAUUUUAAACUCAACAUGUUAAAAUUACACUUAAUUUGAUAUAUUUUACACAAGUUGAUACAUUUUCUCAAGAAAGGCUGCCCAUAGCCUUCGCUUUCUCCCUCAGAAUAAAUUUUUGAACCUUCCCAGUUGAGGUUCUUGGCAAAUCCUCAAAAAUUACAGUUCGAGGAGCCAUAUAAUGAGGCAAUUUAUCUCGGCAAAACUUAAUUAUAUCUUGCUCGGUUGCAUCAAAUCCCUCUUUUAGCUUCACAAAUGCACAAGGUGUUUGUCCCCAAUGAUCAUCUGGUCUUGCAACUACUGCGGCUUCAAGAAUUGCAGGAUGGCCAUAUAAAACUGUUUCUACUUCAACUGUGCUUAUAUUUUCUCCGCCAGAAAUUAUAAUAUCCUUCAACCGGUCCUUUACUUCUAUAUAACCAUCAGAAUGUUUCACAGCUAGAUCCCCACUUCGAAACCAUCCACCUUUGAAAGCUUCCUUUGUUCCUUCCAAGUCUUUGAAGUACCCACUCAUUACAGUGUUUCCUCUGAACAUAAUCUCUCCAAAUGUUUUACCAUCGGCCGGUACACUUUCUUCAGUGAUAGGAUCUUUUACGUCAACGUCCUCUAAACCAAGAUGGUGAAUUCCUUGUCGAGCUUUCAACUUUACUCUCUCAUUAUGAGACAGAGAAUCCCAUUCAGGUUUCCAUGCACAAUAAGUUCCUGGACCAUAAGUUUCUGUAAGGCCAUACACGUGAGAUACACCAAAACCCAACUCUUCCAUCUUGAAAAUGAUUUGAGGGGGAGGUGGCGCACCCCCAGUCAUUACUUCCACUUUGUGAGGAAGUGGUUUUCGAUCACAAACCGGAGAAUUCACAAUCAUGUUCAAUACAGUCGGUGCUCCUCCCAUGUGUGUCACUUUGUGCUCUGCUAUACAGUCAAAAAUGCGUUUUGGAGAGACUUUUCUGAGGCAUAUGUUAGUGCCACCUUGAGCUGCAACUCCCCAAGUAAGGCACCAUCCGUUGCAGUGAAACAUAGGCACAGUCCAAAGGUAAACGGGCAUUGCUCCCAUCCCAUGAAGGAAAACUGUAGCAAGAGAAUUGAGAUAUCCACCCCUGUGAUUAUAAACAACUCCUUUGGGUCGUGAAGUUGUGCCGGAAGUAUAAUUUAUGCUGAUUGGAUCCCACUCAGUUCUCGGUCGUCUAAUCUCAAAUGCAUUAUCUCCAUUUUCCAAGAGACUUUCAUACUCAUAAGUGUUUGAAGUAGAGCCAGAGAGCAUCGGGCCAUCAGAUUCAGAAAUUAAGACCAGUAUAGGUGGUUUUGUUUCUGUAUUUGCCAGAAGAUCAAGUGCUUUACUAGCAACAUCAAAUAAUUGAUAGUCUACAAAAAUGAUCUUGGCUUCUGAAUGUUUCAACAAAACAGAAACCAUAUUUGCAUCAUGGCGUGUAUUAAGCGUGCAAAGAACAGCUCCUGCCAUUGGGACUGCAAAAUGCAGCUCAUACAUUGCUGGAACAUUAGGGGCCAAAGUAGCAACCUGCGUUAAUGUUUCUUUCUAAUAUUAAAUGCUGAUAUAUUUAAGUAUAGACUCAGUAAAACAGCAUUUUCAAUAUUUGAACACGCACAAACAGACAAGAUAAACAAAUACUAGCAAUUACUACAGGAAGACAGUUAGAAAACAACACAGUCGCCUCCCUUUUCUUUUUUUUUUUUUUUUUUUUUUUUCUGUACACCAAUAGAUAAUAUAAACAACUCUAUCUUAAAAGGCUUGACAUUUUCAAUGUUUUUGUCGUAUCCCAUUAUGUAGGGUUUCUACAGCAUAAAUGGUUUCUACAGCAUUUUCAAUGUUUUUGUCGUAUCGCAUUAUUUCACGAGCUAGUGUUUUUUCCCCCCCCUAAAGCAAAUUGAUAAACUCAUAAAUGCAGAAAUUAUAAAUAUAAUUCAAAUUCAACAAAACAAUAAACUAAAAAUGCAUUAUUUUAUAUAGCACAUCUCUUUCAUUAUAGUUUACUUAACAUCCAAUGGAUUGACCCAACUGACCCAAGCUUCAUCGACCAAAUCCUACUCAAUCUUAUCAAUGAAUUAAAUAAUAAAAGAAAGAUGAUCAAUGGUUGUUUUGAAUUUUGACGUAGAGAUUUAAAAAAAAGUACAAAAAGGGUGAAAAGAUGUGCAAAGAAUGAUUUAAAAUAUUAAUGGAAAAGAAGAAUGAAGGCUGCUGAUCCACCAGUAAAUGAAGGGGAUUUAUCCGCUCCAGUGGAUAGAAUAUCCACCAGAUUGGGUCAUUUGAGAAGAAACAAAAAGCUCAAGUAAUCUAAAAACAAUCAAAAUCAAAAUAUAAUGAUCAAAUGUCAAUGGCAGUAAUCUAAAAACUAGAAUAAAAAUCAAAACCUUUUUAUUAAUUAAAGCCAACCCAGAAGAGCAAAUUUCUCCUAAAACAGUACAAAAAAGCAGCUCAAUCAAAAUCAACUCACCACAUCACCUCUGGAAAUUCCCAAUCGGGUCAAAGUAGAAGCAAGGCUAAGACAACGCUUAUAAGUCUCAUUCCAUGUAUACACAACAGAACCAUAAACAACAGAUUUCCUGUCCCUAUACACCUUAGCUGCUCGCUCCAAGAAACUUAUAGGAGACAAAGGAACGAAAUUUGCAGAGCAACGAACAAGGCCCUCCAUAGGUUUCCAUGAUUCAGGCUCAAAAUCCCCAGGAAAAUAAGAGAAAAUGCGGGAAUUUUGUGGGAAAUUGAAAAGAAACCGGUUGAAACUAGAGGAAAUGAAACGAGUACAGUAAAAAUAAUAGGAUUUGUUCUUGAAAAGGUGGUUCAUGUUUGUGGGUAACAGAGAAACUUAAACAAACAGGUAGCAGACUCCAGUGGCAAAUACGAGAAAAUGAAACACAAAGCAAAGCUUUCCUCUGGGAUUGGAGACGUAACACUGUCAACAGAGUCUUUGAACUGCCGAAGCAUGCAAGAUAAGAGAUAAAAUAAUGGAUGAUGUAAUACGAAGUUCAAGUCCUUUGGCUGACAUGGAAAAAUCUAUUACUGUUCUUAUGUGCUGAAAAUUAUAUUUGCUGUGAUGAAUAUUAUAUUAAUUUUUUUAUUUCAAGUUUAUAAAGAAAAAUAUUUACAAUAAAACGUCUGAGCUAAUCAUUUUUAUAUAGUUAAAUGUAUUUCGCUGUAAUUUCCCUCCAAAAAAUUAAAAAUUAAUUAUUUUAUUUCAGUAAUAUCUUUAUAUAUUUACAGUAACUAUUAAAUUAACUUGAGCAGAUUAGUAAUUUUGAUCAAUUUGACAGGAAAUCACAACAUUUUGGAAGGCAGUAUUCAAAUAUCCUUUUGUCCGAAAGCUUGCAGGAAUUGUUUCGAAGCACAUACGAAAUAUAGGUGAUACAGGAAAAGAUGGAGGAGUUUUUGUGGUGGAUUUGGAAGGGAAACUGAUUUCCCAUUACUAUGAUCCUGAGUUAAAAUUGAUUUCCAGUGGUGUAAAAAUUGGAAAUCAUCUAUACUGUGGUUCUAUCAUCGAUCCCUAUAUUCUUCGUCUAAAUUUGGCUAAGUAUCCUGCACUUGCCAAUACCUAAGUUGUGUAGAUUAAUGCUAUACUAAUGUCUCUCAUCGGUGCUCGGAGGGUUGGU